Molecule: long non-coding RNA, 4459 nt
Organism: Myiozetetes cayanensis
Lineage: Eukaryota; Metazoa; Chordata; Aves; Passeriformes; Tyrannidae
Exons: 12
Source: RefSeq, a predicted model, not a curated record
UUUCUCUUCUUGCAAGGUCUGCAGCAUGGCUGGGCAUUUCGGUGCUGGGGUUUGUUGUUUUGGUUUUUUCCUUUGGUUAACCCUUGGAUUCCUCUUUACUCCUUUAUUGCAGAGCAGCUCCGUAAAUAGGAAUGCAGUCUGGUGGCCUGGCUCCGAAAAUAUUUUAUGAUCAGUGGAAAAAAAUGAGGAAGAGAAGGGUGUGGCUGCUGCUGGGAGGCUCUGGCCCUGUAGAGGAUCACUGCCUUGUGGAGAUGUAGCUCUUCAUCAGGACAAAAUGAAGCCUUCUUUUAGGAAUUAUCCAGCUGGGAUACCGACGUCUCCUGUGUAACAUUCUUGAAGAGCUGCAAUAAAUUCACCUUGAAAUGUGUAUUGAUCCUCUGAAGCCGAAUCCUCAGGCAUUUGUGGCCCGUCCUUGCAGCCCGCCGCCCAUUGUUGCCGCGGGGCCGGUGCGGAUUGCUGGGCGAGGCCCUGCCCGGCCGCGCCGCCCGGAGCCACCCGCGGGGACUGCGGAGCCACAUCCAGCCCUGCCGGCCUGUGUGGAGCAUUAUUAAGCAUCCCUGUGCAGAACAGCUCCAAGGCAGCCACCAGCCAGUGCGUGGGGUGUGUUUGUAGGGGCACACACGAGAGAGGGGACGCGGCCGCAUUGCUCAGCUCCUGGCUCUGCAGGUCCAGCCGGAGCCCUUGGAAGCAUGUCGCUCCCUGCCGAGCUGCUGUGGUAUUCCCGAGGCCUGUGCCUGCAGAUCCAGCAUGGAGAGCCCCAUCUCCAGCAGCCAGGUGGAGCAGACACCCAGGGAAAAGGGACUUCAGUGUAUGACAGAGCUCAAAUGUCAGUGCUCCUUCCACCUCGCCUGUCAGGCUGGAUGUAGUCACCCUGCCAGAAGGAUGAAAUUUACAGCAGAAGAACUAAUUUAACACCGAAAAAGUUCUUCCUCAUCUGAACUGUCAUUCAAAAUGCAUAAUAAAAGUCACCAAGGAGAAGUUUUCUGUCCCAGUGUUUGCAGGACUCCUGGAAGAAUCUUCUGAAACUUGAGCACAUCUGUCUCAGGUUGCUCUUAAAAAGAUGAAGCAGUAAUCUGGCAAAACGAACUCAAAACACACAAGGAGUCGUCAUAGGAGACUAAUCUGCAAGGUAUUCAGACUCACUAAUAACAUGGAAACCAGAGUCUGUUAACCACUGGCUGUUCCAGAUAAGAUGUCAAAGCCAACAAGGAGUCUUGAAGUAGUGUAACUCAAAAAAAGAAGUGUUUUGGGAUCAGCAAGAAACAGUGGUGUUUUCCAUCAUGAAACUGGCAGGACCACCGCAUUGGACCGAAACCACCCAUCAUCAUCUCGUGAGAGUGAAGAAAAAAAAAGUUUAAAAGAUGAACUGCUUGGACAGAAACCGUUGCAGAAAAAUUCCAGCAAAGAAAUAAGGGACUUCCAAAGUCAAAGCUAGCAGCUGGAGGAGAGAGAAGAAAGUUUGAAGGGGGGAGAGCUGCUUUUUCUCCUUUUCGCUUUGUCCCUUUAGCAGGGAAAAGACUGAAAAAUAAAAUCCCUGCUGCUUGUGAAAGUUUGUUGGGGUGAGGAGACCCCCCAUGCAGCUCACAGAGGAGCUUGUAGCUGAUGUACCAGGAAGCCGAAACUUCAUGAAAAGGACUGAAAAUAAGGCAGAGACCUGUCAAAAAUUUGUGACUCUAAAUAUGACCCUAAAGGGAAUGAGACUCACGCUGAAGCGAGACGGCUCGGGUGAGAUACUGGAAUUUGUGUGUGGGAUCCAUAUUACUACUGAAGAUUUGUGACCAAACCUCACGCUGGAGCGAGACGGCCCAGGUGGAAUGUUGGGAUCUGUGUGAAAGAUCCAUGCUGCUACUGAAGAUUUGUGACUUUGAGAGAGAGAAAAAGCCUUACGCUGAAGCAGAAAUGGCUCGGGUAAGGAUGUUGGGAUCCAUGCGUGGGAUCCAUACUAGACUCAUGCCGGAGAAAACUGUUCUCCCAUGGAGAGAGACCUCCAUAGGGAAACAGGGGGACUCAAAAACCAUUAUCCCCUGUAACUCUGUGGAAAAAGAUUCAUAGUAAACAAGUAUCCCCUUGCAAGCCUAUAGAAGACGACCCUUCAGGACCUGAGUAACCCCCAGCCUUCGACUUUAACCCAGGAAAGGGAUAGGCCCAACCCUGGAGGCCUACACAGAGAAGGAGAAAGAAUUCCAGCUGUGAUGAGGGUGCUGCAGAGUUACUGGAGAGAGAGCUGGAACUCCGAGAAUGGAAACGGAAACUGCUUCUCCUCCUUGGACUGAUAUAAAGAGAGGAGGGAGAAGUAUUUUUCUAUAAAUACAUAGCACUUUUACUUAAGUAGAAUUAUUAUAGAUAUAGUUCUUUAAUAGUUUUUAUUUUACUAAUAAUAAAUAUUCAUACUAUUUUCCCCAAAUCCAGUUUCUUUUGUCUACAUAAACUUUCUCUCAACUAAUUAAUAAUUGUGUAGGAGAUGUGAAAGCAAAUUGACCCAGAGCAAAACCACGACACUGGAGAAGGAAUUUAAGACCCAACCAUGAAAAUACAAGAUGUCUGAGUGAAGUUCUUCAUGUCUAAACAUCUGCAGGAUCUUAGCCUACUGUAAUAAUGGAAUAUUCUGAAAACCAUGCCUAUAAAAUCUCUAUAUGGCACUAUAUCAACGCAGUAUAUGUUCUUUAUACACCCUUAAGGCGGUCAAGUUUGUAGAGUUUCUUUAUCUGUAGGAUUUCUAUCCUAUCUUGUGUCUGGAUUUUCUUCUGCCUGUAUUUUCCCAUCGGCCACAUGUUUGACUGAAGCCAAAGAUUGUUUUUGUGUACAUUUUUGUACAGUACCUUUAUUCUGUCUUAAGGAAAAAUAUACACAUGCAUUUUUCUUCUUUAUUAAUAAACUGAAUGACAAUUUAAAAUAAAUUUUCAGCUGUUUAGAAUGGUACCCAGAUGUUCUGACACAUUUCAGUUAGUUAAAUACAGAGAAAAGCAUUAUGUCACUAAGAGAGCGGAGGAAGAGGAGCUGGUCUCUGACUACUAAAGCAAAACAAAGCAGUGCUAAGAUGGUGACUUUGAGAACAAUAAACCAGACUCUUCUAAUGCUCAGGUGAACUAUGGAAGUAGCAACAGAAAAAAGAAAAAUCCUACCAAAGGGAAAUUGUGGGGCGAGUAUAAAGGUGUACUGUGGAGUGAAAGAGCAAUACUGAAACAGGUGGGAACCCCCCCCCCCCCAAAUCAGUUCAGGACAUAAAGCAAAAGAAAGGGAAAAAAAACCAGCUUAUGAAAGGCCAAACAUCAAUAUGAUUAAUAUCUUCACAGAAGGAUAGGAUUGGGAUGAAGGGUGAAUAGGCAUUGGUAUGAAGACCUAUCUGAUACCCAAGCAUGGGAAUACCAGUCUGAAGUCUUUACCUCUCCUUAUAGAUUGUGUGGGAAACUCUGAUGCCUUACUGCAUUUCAUUCCAAGGCCAGGUGUCACCUCACAGUGGGUAACCCAGACCUAGUUUUUAGGAUGCUUAAGUCUUCACAGGGCUUUGCUCUCAGACUUGGCAGUGAAGAGUAUUCAUUUGCAUUUAGAUCUAACUUAGGUGCAUGUGCAGGUUGGAGAGAGAAAAGGAGAGAAGCUCCCGAGGGGUUGGUUCAGACUAUGUACGUUAGAGCUGUGGGAGAGUCCCAUUUGUGCUGUUAGAGUUGUUGUUUGUUACAGACCUUGAGAGUUAUCUCACCUUAUUCCAUGCCAAGGGCAUUUGCAGGUCUCAGUCCCUCUCUCCCGUUCUCUUAGUAGGGACGUGAGAGUGUUGUUUCGUAUUCCCUAGGGUUCUAUUGCUAUCACGAUACAAGAGACCAGGAACUGUUAUUUCACCAUGCUGUGUGUUUUUUUGUAUGUAAUAGUGGCUUCUAUACUUGACUCUGAUUACAAAGCGUGUAUAAAGGUAUUACUGACACAAAUGCAUUAUCAGGAAUGUUAGUGUGCCUGGCUACUGAGACUAAACUGCUGAAUGCUACAUGUUUGGAGUGAUUUAUACCACAUGUAUUGAUGUCCAUGCUUGGGUGAUUAGUCUGAGCACAAUUAAUCUUUCUACUAGUAAUUUCUAUAGCAAUUUUAAAGGACUGAAACAAGGAUGAUACUCAGGAGUAAAGGCUGAAAUAUUUUUAUCUGGUAACUUUUCUUUAAACUUGCGUGGCUGCGUAAGUAGAGGAGACUUUUUUACUCAAAGCUUUCAAGGUUUGCUGCAGUUAAAUUGAGUAGUUUCAGAAAUCUUGUCAUAGUGCUUCCCUGAGGGUAAAGUCAUCCCUCUACAAAGUGCCAUUCGUGCCCCACUUACCCUCAAUUAAGGCUUUCAAAAUAACUUUGCAGUGGGACACUGGCCUUCUGCUGAAACACAUUCCUCACCUGAAGGAAAGGCUAUAUUUAGUAUCUGUAUGUCUGUUCCUUAGUUUUUUCCAUCAUAAGGAUAACAUAUAAAAAUAUUACUUUUCUUCUUUCU